AGUAUCAUUGCAGCGCCUUUUCAGGGAGUAGCGUGCCGCACUGGUUCAGGGGCUUUGUCUUUAUUCACAACACAUUCAUGUGCCUCAGCAUGGGGGGAGCUGCACUGUUGCCUGCCAGCCUGUCCUCUUUGACUGCCGAAUGAACCAAAGGAUAACUCUCCAUUCGUGAGAGAGAGUGAGCUACAGAGGAAGAAAGACCACGCAAAAAGGAGGGGGAGAGACGGGGGGAAAAGGAUGUUCUCCGGCUCACUCCUACAUUAGGUCUCUGUGCAAAGGCAGAGGCUGUGGGAGCAGCAUCAAGCAAGCCUUCGGGCAGUGAUUCUAACUAUUGCCCAUGAACACCGUAGCCAGGACGACUUUGACGAGGCAAUUUAUUACUUAUGCAUAGAACAGUAGCUGUGCUGAAACUGGGAGCACAGACACCCCCUUGUUUUCUAAUUUAGAGACUUGCAUCUUUUUGACACUCAACACUAUCAAGACACUCUGCUACUACAGAUUGAUUUCCACCAUCAACACCCUUACCUCUCCCCACCUGAAAAUAAAAUAUGAAAUAUAACAAGUAAAUUGCAAUCUACUUUGUAUCUUCUGGAGAGGGAAAGAAGAAACAAUGUCUAGACAAGGUACUGGAAAGACCCAGGGAAGACACAGGUGAGCUAAGAAAGCAGUAGAAACUGGGUAAUUAAAAGUCAACAUAAUGGCUGGAAACUUGGCCAAGGAGAUAGAAAAAGAAAGAAAAACCAAAAGAGAGACUGUGUAGAUGAACUUUGUCUGUUUACAAUUUUGUCUAAGGCCAAAUCUGCAGGCUGCUCCCACCGCAUGUUAUCUAAGUUAUUAAUGUACCAAUACUAAUAGCUACUGAAAUUCUUUCAUAAAAAUGAAAAUCAUUUCCCUUUUGAUUUGCUAGUUUUUCCUCUUGGUAAAUAAAGACUCAUUUUUUAGUAAUAACUGACCUGCCCUAAGGGUUCAACACUUUCCUCUGAUCUCAAAUCUUGUGCUAGGUCUUUAGGUUACAAUUCGUGAAACUAAAAAGUAAACAAACAAAAAAAAAGAUUCUCUUA
Long non-coding RNA from Mandrillus leucophaeus (drill), 1058 nucleotides. RefSeq lists it as uncharacterized. The transcript has 3 exons. NCBI's taxonomy places the organism in Eukaryota, Metazoa, Chordata, Mammalia, Primates, Cercopithecidae. The record is from RefSeq and is a predicted model, not a curated record.